This 940-nucleotide long non-coding RNA is filed under the name Nicotiana tabacum (common tobacco). RNAcentral's name for it is "long non-coding RNA (NTAB_LNC004618)". The record is from RNAcentral. Lineage: Eukaryota; Viridiplantae; Streptophyta; Magnoliopsida; Solanales; Solanaceae.
GAAUAAGUUCUGGUCUAUUUUUAGCGAGGAGUUAAACUGAUAGAAUUAGCUAUCAGACAUAUGUGCUAAUGUUGUGGAUACAUUAUUUGAUCAGUGAACAAGAAGGACGUGCACGGGUCCUAGAUGACUACAUAUCAUUUGUUGGUCUACUUGCUGACCCGUUAUUGUGGUAUUGACCUAUCUUUUGUUUUGAAAUUUUUACUUGCUUAUGUGUGCCUUGGAUUCUACAACCUGUUCUAUGGAUCCUGCUACUUAGAUAUGAGCUUGUAAGCAAGGGUGAACGAAACCUAUCAUCUAAUGGAAACUAUCAUGUAUUUUAAAUGCAUUUUUAUGUAAAAUUAUAUAACAAGUGCCAAAAGGUAAAUAAUAACAUUAUUAGCAGAACUACAAUUCUUGCAAUUACCUUUGUCUUCUAAAAAAUGCAAUUAGCUUGAAACUAAUGAGUUCCAUCAACUGGAGCUUGUACUCAAGUUAUUUGGCAUCCCUUAAUACUUUGUUAUGUGGCUUUUAUUGCUUAUUAAUUUUUUUUGGUGGAUUCAGUGAUCUUUGGACUCUUCCAUUCCAUCUUUUUGCAGUUUUGAACAUUUUACUCUCUCUGAUCCUCGUUCAAAUUGCUGUCACCUACGAGCUUUAUGAUCUUUAAUGGUGAACUCUUCAUUACUCCACAGAGGGACAUACAAGGGUAUCAAUAUUUUGUAUUAGUGCUACACUUGAACUUUAUCUUUUCCUUACUCUAACAUACAUCUUUUUCAGCAAAUCUAUUGUUGCAUCCUAGUGAGACUAUUGGAUUGUUAACUCAUUUUCUUUGUAUUUUAUAUUCCCUUAUUGUUUUAACAUUAUCCUAUUUUUCCUUAGUUCCUUAAAUCGCUGAACAAAUUAAGCAGCACCUUGAAUUCAAUUGGAUGCAACAUUAUGCUAAUAAGGAGUUGUUUUCUCUAAC